This 508-nucleotide ribosomal RNA is filed under the name uncultured bacterium. Its description in RNAcentral is "bacterial SSU rRNA". It matches the Rfam family "Bacterial small subunit ribosomal RNA", at positions 9 to 513 of the family's 1533-position model. The record is from RNAcentral.
GAGUUUGAUCCUGGCUCAGAUUGAACGCUGGCGGCAGGCCUAACACAUGCAAGUCGAGCGGUAGAGAGAAGCUUGCUUCUCUUGAGAGCGGCGGACGGGUGAGUAAUGCCUAGGAAUCUGCCUGGUAGUGGGGGAUAACGCUCGGAAACGGACGCUAAUACCGCAUACGUCCUACGGGAGAAAGCAGGGGACCUUCGGGCCUUGCGCUAUCAGAUGAGCCUAGGUCGGAUUAGCUAGUUGGUGAGGUAAUGGCUCACCAAGGCGACGAUCCGUAACUGGUCUGAGAGGAUGAUCAGUCACACUGGAACUGAGACACGGUCCAGACUCCUACGGAGGCAGCAGUGGGGAAUAUUGGACAAUGGGCGAAAGCCUGAUCCAGCCAUGCCGCGUGUGUGAAGAAGGUCUUCGGAUUGUAAAGCACUUUAAGUUGGGAGGAAGGGCAGUAAAUUAAUACUUUAGCUGUUUUGACGUUACCGACAGAAUAAGCACGGCUAACUCUGUGCCAGCA